Molecule: ribosomal RNA, 548 nt
Filed under: uncultured bacterium
Lineage: Bacteria
Description: bacterial SSU rRNA
Rfam family: Bacterial small subunit ribosomal RNA
Source: RNAcentral
UGGGGAAUAUUGGACAAUGGGCGCAAGCCUGAUCCAGCCAUGCCGCGUGAGUGAAGAAGGCCUUCGGGCUGUAAAGCACUUUUGUCCGGAAAGAAAUCCUUGGUUCUAAUAUAGCCGGGGGAUGACGGUACCGGAAGAAUAAGCACCGGCUAACUACGUGCCAGCAGCCGCGGUAAUACGUAGGGUGCGAGCGUUAAUCGGAAUUACUGGGCGUAAAGCGUGCGCAGGCGGUUUGCCAAGACCGAUGUGAAAUCCCCGGGCUCAACCUGGGAACUGCAUUGGUGACUGGCAGGCUAGAGUAUGGCAGAGGGGGGUAGAAUUCCACGUGUAGCAGUGAAAUGCGUAGAGAUGUGGAGGAAUACCGAUGGCGAAGGCAGCCCCCUGGGCCAAUACUGACGCUCAUGCACGAAAGCGCGGGGAGCAAACAGGAUUAGAUACCCUGGUAGUCCACGCCCUAAACGAUGUCAACUAGUUGUUGGGGAUUCAUUUCCUUAGUAACGUAGCUAACGCGUGAAGUUGACCGCCUGGGGAGUACGGUCGCAAGAUUA